Molecule: ribosomal RNA, 282 nt
Filed under: uncultured bacterium
Lineage: Bacteria
Description: partial 16S ribosomal RNA
Rfam family: Bacterial small subunit ribosomal RNA
Source: RNAcentral
CGAUUCCUACGGGAGGCAGCAGUAGGGAAUCUUCCACAAUGGACGAAAGUCUGAUGGAGCAACGCCGCGUGAGUGAAGAAGGGUUUCGGCUCGUAAAGCUCUGUUGGUAGUGAAGAAAGAUAGAGGUAGUAACUGGCCUUUAUUUGACGGUAAUUACUUAGAAAGUCACGGCUAACUACGUGCCAGCAGCCGCGGUAAUACGUAGGUGGCAAGCGUUGUCCGGAUUUAUUGGGCGUAAAGCGAGUGCAGGCGGGUCAAAUAGGCUGAUGGGAAAGACUUUCG